AGGCCUACACACAGCUUCAAAGUGACACUGAGUGGGCUAAAGCCAAUACUGACUGCCAUGUCAUUUCUGUGGAUCUACAGGGGUGAUGUACACCCCUAAUCUGACCCACUCCAAUGUCUACUACCAGCGGCAGCUGUCAAAUUUUAACCUUUGCAUCCAGGAACUUGGAAAAGAAGAUCCUGCAUACAUGUGUGUUUGGCAUGAGGGGAUUGCACACCGAGGGUUCAUUGAGGUGGCAAGCUGCAUAUUGAAGUGGGUGAAGACAAAGUUCACGCCACUCACCAAACCAGAGGUACGCAAGUUGAUCAUCUUCAGUGACAGAUGCUGUGGGCAGAAUAACAACUGGCGGAUGCUCAAUCUGAUGUCGAUGCUCGUCUCUUUGGGUUACUUUACCCAAGUUGAGCAGAAGUUCAUGGUCUGGUCAUUCUUUUCUUCCUUGUGAUCGAUCUUUUGCCACCAUCGAGAAGAGGCGCAAGGUGUCAGUCCUUCAUACACCUGAUGAUGUUUCAAAGAAGAUACUUGAAGCACAACCAGCAAAACCAUUCAAGGUGAUGAGGAUGCAAUGUGAAGACUUCAGGCACCUCCCAGAUUCUGUCCUCAAGCGACCAGCUGGACUACAGAUCACCUCAGUGAGGUGGUUAAAAGUCACAGUUGAUCCUUGGAAUCUGUACGCCAUACAGAGCCACAGUCUAUUUGAGGGAUGGAAAUCGUGGUUGAUCUCCAAACCAAAACAAGGAGCUACACCUCAACCUCCCUAUUUUGCAAGCCACUACCCUAGAGCAUAUGAGAGUCCUCUGCCCAU
Salvelinus sp. IW2-2015 is the source of this 802-nucleotide non-coding RNA. The record is from RefSeq and is a predicted model, not a curated record. NCBI's taxonomy places the organism in Eukaryota, Metazoa, Chordata, Actinopteri, Salmoniformes, Salmonidae.